UCGGAAAGUACUGUUGCUUCAUGGGGUC
Molecule: small RNA, 28 nt
Filed under: Bombyx mori (domestic silkworm)
Lineage: Eukaryota; Metazoa; Arthropoda; Insecta; Lepidoptera; Bombycidae
Description: ovarian small RNA-7606
Source: RNAcentral